Long non-coding RNA from Bactrocera neohumeralis, 7588 nucleotides. RefSeq lists it as uncharacterized. The record is from RefSeq and is a predicted model, not a curated record. Lineage: Eukaryota; Metazoa; Arthropoda; Insecta; Diptera; Tephritidae. The transcript is spliced from 2 exons.
AUUAAGUAAGGUGGUAGUUUGAAAUAAACCUCUUUGUUCUUUUGCUCUACCUAGCUUCAUUAAGCCAAGUAAAAGCUUUAUUAGGUAAAGUGAAAGCUUGAAAUAAGCUUCUAUGCAAUUAUUUUUAGAUGAAAUAUUAAAUAUAUAAAAUAUUAAAAAGCGCAUGAAGCUUCAUUAAGCCUAGUGCAAGCUUCAGUAAGUGAAGUAAAAAUUUUAAAUAAACCUUUUUGUAUUUUGUUCUCAUCGCUUUAAGGAUUUUUUUAUUGUUUUGUUUGCUUUAAAUAAAAUAUUCAGUAUUUAAAGCGCAUGAACGCUUCACUAAGUCAAGUGAAAGCUUCAUUAGGUAAGGUGAAAACUUCAUUAGACGAAGAAAAAGUUUCAUAUAACCUCUUUUGUAAUUUAAUUGGUUUGCUCUCAGCAAAAUAUUCAAUUAAAAAAGUCAAGUGAAAGCUUCAGUAAAUGAAGUGAAAGCUUGCUGAGCGAAAUUCUUGGCAAUAUAAAGAUUCGUAUUUCUUCAUAAAUUACAUGAGCUUUAAACAGAAACUGAGUAUAGACCAAAAUAGUUGCAAAAUUUUUAGUGACAAUGUUACCACUAAGAAAGUUUAAACGAAUUUUUGAAGUUUUACACGAGCGUUCCAGAGACCCUUUGUUAACUCGAAUCGAACAAAUUGAAAGUAUUUGCCGAAUUAGAAAAUAUACUUUGAGACAUACUAAUUUUUUGAAAAUUCUGAUUACCCUUAACCAAUCAUUGUUGUUUUAAGAAGCUUUUGUUUAGAGACAAUCACUGGAAUAUUAGCUUUAAAAAAUUUUCAAAGCUUUUAUAUUUCCCAAAAUUAUGUUUUCAAAAUAUUUAUAAUAAAACCUAUUUCGCUUUUCGGAAUAAUUCUGCUUAAUAGUAUUGAAAAGCUUUUUAAAAAGCUUUCACGGCAAUUUUUCUUUGAGCUUUUAUGCAUUUAUAAGCUUCGAAAGCUUUCAUAUUUCCAAAAAAUGUAUUUUAAAAAUAUUUCUAAUAAUACCUAUUCCGUUUUUCGGAACAUUUAUUCUUAAUAGUACUAAAAAGCUUAGAACUUUUAUGCGUUUGAAAGCUCCGAAAGCUUUCAUAUUUCUAAAACAUGCAUUUAAAAAUAGCGAUUAGCUAUUUUUUUCGGAAAAGCUUUUUAAGAGCCUUUCCAGAAAAUUUUGCUUUGAAUUUAUUUCGUUUAAAAAGUUUGAAAGCUUUUAUAUUUACAUAUUAGUACUCCCAUAUUAUGAAUGCUUAACAGCUUUACAAUUGCCUCUGAACAUGAAGUAAUUUCUCUGCCUUCAUUUUAGUAAUUUUAAAUGAAUAAUUUUAACUCAUGGAAAACUUUUUUGGUAUCUAUAAUUAUUUAUUUAUUUAGACUUUGUAAAUAUUUUUUAGUCUAUUUUGAAGGUAGAAUUAUUUUUGAUGACAGCUCUUUUAGAAUUUGUGCAUUGAUAAAACCUAACAUUUGUAUUGAAAUGUGGAAGUGUUAAAAGCUUUAAUUCUUCUUAAAAGCUUGAAAGCUUUUUCAAAAUUUGAAUUAAAACAACUUUUUAUAAAAUUGUAUUAAAGUUUUCACAGUCUCACUAGAAAAUUAACUCGUUUUAAUUUAGUUUACUUAUUAUAUUAAAUAUUUAUGUUUAAGCCAAAAAUAUUUUGAAUUUUUUAAGUUUAAUUAUUUUUGAAAAAUAUUAAAAUCUCAUCUCAUUAAAAUGCUCACAAUAAAAAUACAGGAAAAAUUCUCAAAACAAAAGCAAAUAUUUUAAUGGAAAAGCGCACUACAAAGAAAAUAUAAUAACGGUAUUUGUAUACAAAUUAAUUAAAAAAUAAUAAUUUCAGUUUUUCAAAAAUCAUUUAACAAAUUUAAAUACGUAAAAAAUGAAAAUAAGCCAAAAAUUAUUUCUAAAAUAUAAUUAGAAUAUUUAUUACGCCAAAGGUCAUGAAAAUAUUUACAAAUAUUGUAAAAAAUAAAAACAAAAAAUAUACCUUAAAACUACAAAUCUCAUAAACAACUGCAAACAAAACGUCCAAAUUUACGAAAGCAAAUGUAAAAACUAAAACAAAGACGACAAAAUGUGAAGUAACAAUUACUGAAGAAAUAUACAUAUGUACAUAUAUAUUGUAUAUAUAUAUGUAUGUAUAUAAUAUACUUAUGGAUAUUUUUUUAUACACACUUACAUGAACACUUGAAGAAUCCAAAAAAACAAGCAAAAACCAACAGUAAGCGAACAAUAAAUAAACAAAGCAGAAUUAUUUACUUCAAACAACAAAAAAUAAUAUUAAAACUCUUGAACAAAAAGCAAAGUUUAAAUUUUAAAUAUUUGUAUGUAUAUAACAUUCUAGAAUUAUCAAUUUUCCAUUACUUCCUGAGUGAUUUAAAAUAUUCUAAAAUAUAUACUAUAUAUACAUAUAUAUUAUUUUUGAUUCUGAACCACGAGCUUUUUAGAUUUCAAAGCUUUUGCUUUCAUUCCCUUAAUGGAAAGUUUUUCUGCACCAUACGACUCUUAAACGAGCCUACAACCUGUGUCCUUAGCUAACUUUUAACUUCAGUGAAAUCAGAAGAGCUUUUCAGAACUACGAGCUUUUCCGAUUUUAAAGCUUUUGCUUCCAUUCUCUUAAUGAUAAAGUUUUCUGCAACAUGCGACUCUGAAACGAGCCGACAACGUAUUAUAAUAUGUCCAUAGCUAACUUUAAACUUCAGUGAGUUCAGAAAAACUUUUCUGGAUCAUGAGCAUUCCAGUUUUCAAAGCUUUUGUUUCCAUUAUCUUAAUGGAAAGUUUUUCCAAAGCUCAUAGUGUUGCGAUUUGAUAAUUUUAUUGCGAGUUCUAAGCACAAUAACUUCUUAAUAAUUCUAAUAUAAAACUUAAUGCUCCAACUAAACGAAUGUGAACCUAAUAGGAAUGAGCUUUCUGGAUUUUUUUUUUAUUUCAUAAAUUUGUAUUGCACUUUUUUAUGUAUAAGCUCUACUAACUCAAAAACCAAGCGACAAGAGACAUUUUUAUUAUGUUUAUUUUACAACAACAACAAAAAAUAUUAAUGGUUUUUAGGCGCUCUAGUCUCUUCCACUAAAGCAAAUUAGUCUAGCAUAUAAAGCACCAACAAAGCAAAUAAUCAGAUAUUAGACGAAAAUACAUUCACAGAUACAUACAUACACACAUACACAAGCCAUCAACCUUAUCUUAAAUGCGGACAGCAAACAAGCGUAAAGUAAAAAUUAGAAUAAAAGAAGUUCACACGUUGGAAACCAUGAAAUAAUAAAGUUGCUAUAAUAAAUCUAAAACACAACAACAAACAAACUUAUAUAGUAAACUUCUUCUUAGAAUUUAGCAUAGAUUAGCAGCAGUGUGCAACUAGUAAUGAUUAAAAGUGCGUUAGAAGAAGCAGAAUAGGAGACAAGCAAAACAACAAAAGUUUACACAAACAAGCAGUGAAUGUUGGACGCAAGCGUUUUUGCGAGCUUUUAGCGGGCAUGAGAAAUGACGGAAAUGUUUUAGUGCAAAAUACAAACUAAAUAUAUACAUACAUAUAUACAUUUAUAUAACAAAAAAGAAAAGAAAAUGAAAAAGAAAAAAAGAAGAAGAAGAAAAAAAAUUACCAAAAGAACUAAAUAUAUGUAUUGCUUAAAACUAUUUUAGAUAAAGAAAUUAACAAAGUAACCAAAAACAAAAUAAACAACAACAACAAAUUCUGCACGAGCUAAGGUUAGAAAUCAGACACACAUAAUAUAUAUGUAUAAAUAAAUAUAUGUAGAUUAUUGUCUCUAUAUAGACAGCAGCUUGGCACAAGCACGUAGACACACACACACACACAAACGCUCACACAUGAAACGUUCUCCUCCUUAUUAGACUGGCACUUAAGCUUAAGCAUUUGGCAAUUUAUUAUAAGUAAAUUAAAUAUAGUUGGAAAAAAGCAAAAUUCACAUACAUACAAACAAAUAUAAAUAUUAAUGCGAGUUGAAAAGCAAAUUCUAUGUAAAUUUCAAAUUAAAAAAUAAGAAAUACAUUUUUCUUGGAGCUUUUAGUGGAAGCUUGCGCAAAAAAGAACAAAGAAAUACAAAUAUUCAAAUUUAUUUAACCGUUAUGUUGUGUAAAUGUAGUGGCUAAAAGCGCUAAAUGUAAAUAAUUUCUUUCCAAGCUGUAGGAGCAAAGCAAGUUCGUCGCUUAAGUCUUUCGUUUGUUUGGCUUGGAGUAAACCAGCUUGCGAAAUAUAAUAUAAUGAUAUAUGAGUAUAAAUAUAUGAUAUACGAAAGUAUGCAGCACGCAAUAGAAGAAAAAUACAAAAAUAAAAAUAACAAGAUGGCAGAGAAAAAUAAUUAAAUAUUCACGUGACGACAGAAAUGAGAAAAGCAGAGAACACAAUGCGUCACGAGUGAAAUAAAUAUUUAUUUUAGCGACACAAAAAAAAAUAAUUUUAACAUAAUAUAUAAUUAAAAAUUAUUGUAUAAUAAAAAAUUAAAAUUAAGAUAAAACAAUUUAAUAAAAAAAACUUUAUUUAAAUUAUAAACUUAAAAAAAUAUUAAUACAAAAAAACCCAAAAAAAAAAUAAAAAUAAAUUAAAAUAUUAAAAUUUAAAAAUAUGAAGACUAACAAUUAAAAAAAAAUAUGUUUAAAACACUAUAAAAAUUAUAAAAAAAUAUAUACGAAAAAAAUUAAUAAAAGCUGAACGUAUAAACGUAUACAAAAAAAAUUAUAUUAAUACAAAAAAAAAUUAAAUAAAACAUAAAUAAAUUAAAAUAUUAUUAAUAUUAAAAAUAAAAAACUAAAAUAAAAUAUAUUUGUAAUAAUAAAGAAUUAUAAAAAAGUAAAAGCUAAAAAUGGCAGUAAAACAAAAAAUAAUAAUAAAUUAAAAUGUUAUUAAUACUAACAAAUAUGCAAACAAAAAAUUAUAGAAAAAAAUAAAAUGUGUUUUAAAUAUUAAAAAUUUAUAAAAGACAAAAUUAAAAGUUAAAAAAUUAAUGAAAAAUAACCUCUGUUUUUGUUAUUAAUUUUUUAACUUAUAUUUUUUUGUAAUUAAUAAAAAUACUUUAUAAUAAAUAAAAAAUAAUAAUUUUCUUAAAAACUUAUAAAAAAAUUAAAAGGUACAAACGUAUAACAAACAAUUAAAAAAUAAGAUAAAAUUAAAACUAUAAAAAAAAACAAGAAAAAACGUUAACUUCGGCUGCACCGAAGCUAAUAUACCCUUCACAGGUGCAUUUCUUUUAGUAACUAUGUGUUCAGUUUGUAUGGCAGCUAUAUGCUAUAGUUAGCCGAUCUGAACCAUUUUUUUGGAGAUUAUAUUGUUACCUUAAGCAGUAAUCCAUGUCAAAUUUCGUGAAGAUACCACGUCAAAUGCGAAAGUUUUUCAUACAAGAACUUGCUUUUAAGGGUCGGUUUGUAUGACAGCUAUAUGCUAUAGUGAGCCGAUCUGAACAAUUUCUUCCUAUAUUACAUUAUUUCUAUGAACAAUAACUCAUACCAAAUUUCGUGAAGAUAUAUCGUCAAAUGAGGAAGUUUCCCAUGCAAGCAUUUGAUUCCGAUCGUUCGGUUUGUAUGGUAGCUACAUGCUAUAGUUAACCGAACUGAACGAUUUCUUCGGAAAUUACAUUGUAGCCUUAAAAAAUAGUCUAUACCAAAUUUCGUGAAUAUAUCUUGUGAAAUGUGAAAGUUUUUUAUACAAGAACUUGAUUCCGAUCGUUCAGAUUGUAUGGCAGCUAUAUGUUAUAGUUGUUCGAUAUUGGCAGUUCCGACAAAUGAGCAGCUUCUUGAAGAGAAAAUGACGUUUGCAAAAUUUUGAAAACGAUAUCUUAAAAACUGAGGGACUAGUUCGUAUAUAUACAGACAGACGGACAGACAGACGGACAUGGCUAAAUCGACUCAGCUCAACAUACUGAUCAUUUAUAUAUUAUAUAUACUUUAUAGGGUCUCCGACGCUUCCUUCUGGGUGUUACAAACUUCGUGACAAACUUAAUAUACCCUGUUCAGGGUAUAACAAGAAAAAUUAUAAUAAUUCAAGUAUUAAAAUAUUAAAAUUAAUUUAUAAUAAAAAAAUUAAAAAUAAACAUUCAAAUUAAUUAUGUUUUUUAUUAAUUUUUGAACUUUUAUUUUUUUAUAAUUUUUUUAACUCAUAAAAAAUUUAAAAGAUUAAACAUAUAAAAAAACAAAAAAAAUAUAUUUAUUAAAUUAAUGAAAAUAAUAAAAAUACUGCGUUAAGUCUUAAAAAGAAUAUAUAUGUAUGUAUAUAUUAAUGUAAAAUCCUAAAAAAAAACAGAAAAAAUUUAAUUUUAUUAAGCAAAUAAAAAAUAAAUAUUAAAUCCUAAAAACAACAAAAUAAAAAAAUUAAUUAAUGUGAAAACAAAAAAUAUAAUAAAUAUAUUAUAUAAUAAAACAUAAUAUAAAAACAUUAAUUUACAGCUUAAAUAUAUAAAUAAAUAAAUGUAAAAUAUAUAUAUAAAUAAAUAAAAUUAUAAAAACUAAAAUAAAUAAAUAAAAUAAAAAAUAAAUAAAUUGUUUAUUAAAAUAAAUAAAAAAAUAAUUAAAAUAACUUUAAAAAUUAAAAUACAAAAAACAUUUAAAAUAAAAAAUAUGCAAAAAAAAACAUUAAAAUAAAAUUUCAAAAAUUAAUUAAAUAAAAAUUUAUUUAAAAAUAGUUGUUUGAAAUUUAAAAACUGAAUACAACUGCAUUUCAUGAUUGGAAUUAUAGCAAAGAACUACGAAAGUAUAACGAAGAACGCAGCAAAAAACUGAUAUACACACAUACAAACAAAAAUAUUUUACUACAACAAUAUAUUACAUACAAACAUAUGAUAAAUAGGCGUUAAAACGCAGCGGCAAAGCAAAGAAAAAUAAAGAAAAAAGCUAAAGCAACAACAAACAGCAACUACAGCCAAGCAAAUAUGUACAGAAAAAAACAAAAAAAAAUAAAUAAAAAUUAUUAAAAAAAGAUUAUUAAAAAAAUACAAUGUAAAAAAUAUUUAUUUAUAAAAUAUGAAAUACUGACUACCGUUGUUAUACACACAUACAGAUAAACUCAACGAUGAGCAACACUUUAUUUAUUUAUUAUGCAAAAUAUGACAAAAAUAUGACAAAAAACAACAACAAAAGCAAAGGCAGGCACAGACAAAGAAAACAGCGCAAAGUGCGAGCACAGACACACACACAUACAUGCAUAUAAACCACACACACAAUCAUUCUAAACAUGAAGACAGCACAUUUGGCAUUUGAAAGCAUAUAAAUACACACACACACAUACAAACCCAAAUAAAAUAUCUGAAAACAUGUUAACAAAAUAAUUAAAUUAAAUUUAAACAAAAAAUAAAAAAAAAAAAACUUAUACAUAAAUUAUACAUUUAAAUAAAUAUUGAACUCCAAUUUUGAUGUCUUAAAGAGAAGCAAAAGCAAAAACAAAAAAAAAAACUCCCAAAAAAACACAAAAAAAAAACAAAAUGUCAAAUAUUAAUAUUUAAAAUAAAGUCUAUUGCAAAACAAACUCAAAUAUUAUACAUACAAAUAAAUACAAAAAUAUAUUAAAACCAAAAACAAAAAAAAACAACAUAAAAAAUAUGAAAUAUGAAGAAUAAAGAGUAAAUUAUACAGUGAUUAAAAAUGAAAA